AGGUCAGGGAGAGGAAAAAAUGUUCCAGAUGGAUAGUGACCAGGAGGGAAAUUAGAUUUCAUGCCAGGGAGCCCGGAGGCCAGACUGCCUUCACAGUCAUUUAGAUUGAGGAGGCCACAGACUUUUCUGAUCGCAGCCUGUCAUCUGUCCCCUGCGAGGCCAUGUGGUGGUCCCUGGCGGCCCUCGUGGGCCUGUACUGCCUCCUGCGCUGGUACCGGGAGAGACAGGUGGUGAGCCACCUCUAGGACAAGUACGUCUUCAUCACGGGCUGUGACUCGGGCUUCGGGAACCUGCUGGCCCGGCAGCUGGACCUGCGAGGCUUGAGGGUGCUGGCUGCAUGUCUGACGGAGAAGGGGGCCCAGCAGCUGAGAAGCCAGACGUCAGACAGGCUGGGCACGGUGAUCCUGGAUGUCACCAAGACAGAUCAUCUUGGCGGCCGCCCAGUGGGUGGAGGAGCGUGUGGGGGACACACAGGAGGGAGCUCACCUACUUCGGGGUGAAGGUAGCUGUGAUCGAGCCUGGUUACUUCAGCACUAACGUGACCAACCCUGAGAAGAUUUCCAGGGGCUUCCAGGAGACAUGGGACCGGCUGAGCCCGGAGGUCAGGGAGGCCUAUGGGGAGGAGUUCCUGGCCUCUGCCUGUGCUCCCUGCAAGGCCAUGUGGUGGUCCCUGGCAGUCCUCGUGGGCCUGUACUACCUCCUGCGCUGGUACCGGGAGAGACAGGUGGUGAGCCACCUGCAGGACAAGUACGUCUUCAUCACGGGCUGUGACUCGGGCUUCGGGAACCUGCUGGCCCGGCAGCUGGACCUGCGAGGCUUGAGGGUGCUGGCUGCAUGUCUGACGGAGAAGGGGGCCCAGCAGCUGAGAAGCCAGACGUCAGACAGGCUGGACACAGUGAUCCUGGAUGUCACCAAGACAGAGAGCAUCUUGGCGGCCACCCAGUGGGUGGAGGAGCAUGUGGGGGACAGAGGGCUCUGGGGCCUGGUGAAUAAUGCUGGCAUCUCUUGGCCCACGGCACCCAAUGAAUGGCUGACCAAGGAUGACUUCAUGAAGAUACUUGACGUGAACCUGUUGGGGUUGGUGGAGGUGACCCUGAGCCUGCUGUCCCUGGUGAGGAAGGCGAGGGGCCGUGUGGUCAACGUCUCCAGCAUCAUGGGCCGACUGUCUCUCUGCGGUGGGGGCUACUGCAUCUCCAAAUAUGGUGUCGAGGCCUUCUCGGACUCCCUCAGGAGGGAGCUCACCUACUUCGGGGUGAAGGUAGCUGUGAUCGAGCCUGGUUACUUCAGCACUAACGUGACCAACCCUGAGAAGAUUUCCAGGGGCUUCCAGGAGACAUGGGACCGGCUGAGCCCGGAGGUCAGGGAGGCCUAUGGGGAGGAGUUCCUGGCCUCUGGAAGCCAAUUGAAAAGCUGAAGUCAAUGUGUGACACCAAUCUAUACUUGGUGACGAACUGCAUGGAACAUGCCCUGACAGCCUGCCACCCCCGUACCCGAUACUCACCUGGCUGGGAUGCUAAGCUCCUCUACCUCCCCAUGAGCUACCUGCCCACCUUGCUGGUGGACACCAUGAUCUACUGGAACUCUCCACGCCCGGCUAAGGCUGUGUAACCCAAGAAGGACUAGGGCUUCCCGGGGACAUUACUCAGGACUCUGGGAUAUCAGGAGGAAAGAACUGUUUUGUGGCUGAGGAACAGGGAUGGAGGUGUGAAUGAUGACCACCAGCCUGACCCAUUAGCCUGAAAGGCCAACUCACAGACCUUGGCUGAAAGGACGUGUCUAUAAUUGGGAUCAGGACAGAGGACACAGAAACCAGUUAUUGAGUUGUCUUGACACUUUGAUGUUCAUUGAUUGUGUUUGCCUCAAAAUAAAAGUUGAAAAGUUGACCUAA
Canis lupus familiaris (dog) is the source of this 1888-nucleotide RNA transcript. It is a transcript of the gene named retinol dehydrogenase 16, with no coding region annotated. Lineage: Eukaryota; Metazoa; Chordata; Mammalia; Carnivora; Canidae. The record is from RefSeq and is a predicted model, not a curated record. The transcript has 7 exons.